AGAGCGAACGCUGGCGGCAGGCCUAAUACAUGCAAGUCGAACGAACCCUUCGGGGUUAGUGGCGGACGGGUGAGUAACACGUGGGAACGUGCCUUUUGGUUCGGAACAACUCAGGGAAACUUGAGCUAAUACCGAAUGUGCCCUUCGGGGGAAAGAUUUAUCGCCAUUAGAGCGGCCCGCGUCUGAUUAGCUAGUUGGUGGGGUAAAGGCCCACCAAGGCUACGAUCAGUAGCUGGUCUGAGAGGAUGAUCAGCCACACUGGGACUGAGACACGGCCCAGACUCCUACGGGAGGCAGCAGUAGGGAAUCUUGCGCAAUGGGCAAAGCCUGACGCAGCCAUGCCGCGUGAAUGAUGAAGGUCUUAGGAUUGUAAAAUUCUUUCAGCGGGACGAUAAUGACGGUACCGCAGAAGAAGCCCCGGCUAACUUCGCGCCAGCAGCCGC
RNAcentral lists this ribosomal RNA (443 nucleotides) under uncultured bacterium. RNAcentral describes it as "SSU rRNA". It matches the Rfam family "Bacterial small subunit ribosomal RNA", at positions 26 to 518 of the family's 1533-position model. The record is from RNAcentral.